AGCAGCGACGGCCAUGGUGACGGACGUAGAGUGAAAAUGGUCAUCAUUUGGUGUUCGUGCUGAUAACUAUUUAUGGUGACAGUGAUGGUGGGUUGGUGACAGCGCCCGAUACCUGAGGUGUGGCCGUGACCUUAUAGCACUAGCGGGCGCCUUACUACAAGCGUGUAGCUGCGUGCACGCUGAGGUUUGCCGCAUCACCGACUGCAGCGACAUGACAGUCGGCAGGGCAACGCUGCGCGCUACGCACCCCAAAAUGUUGGCCAGCGUCAACAGAGUGGCCGCUGUACCGUGCACGUAUGGGCGUGGAUGGAUGGCGAAGGCAGGGGUGGCAUAUAUCGGACGGGGACGACCACGGCUGCUUCCUACCGGGAUCUGCUGGAGCACAAAUUCCUGCCAGACUAUGACCAUCUGAGACCGGGAAGACCACACAUAGUUUUCCAGCAGGAUAACGCCCCGGUGCAUACCGCACGACUGGUUCGCGACUGGAUGGGGCGUCAGCCGCGCCUGGAACUGCUGCCGUGGGCUGCGAGAUCUCCUGACUUGAACCCCAUAGAAAACCUAUGGGGUAUUAUGACAGAGGAGCUCACGCCUGCGCUGAACGGAGCUCACGUCACAACGGACCGGCUGUGGGAGCUGAUACAGGAAGCCUGGGCCCGCGUGACCCCCGCCCUGUGCAGACGGCUGGCGGACUCC
This is a long non-coding RNA of Amphibalanus amphitrite, 693 nucleotides long. RefSeq lists it as uncharacterized. NCBI's taxonomy places the organism in Eukaryota, Metazoa, Arthropoda, Thecostraca, Balanomorpha, Balanidae. The record is from RefSeq and is a predicted model, not a curated record. The transcript has 3 exons.